CACCGCCCGCCCCCGCCCGGCGGCGCGGGGAAACUGUGAACGGCUCCUGUGGCCAAAUGUGGCCAAACUGGGGCAGACAGGGGCCUGGGACAACUUCUCAACCCCAAGGACCGCCCGAGGGACAGACUGUACAUUCUGACGUGGGACCAGGUCUUCUCAACCCAUCUCAGCAGCCAGCAGAAGGCAGUGCCGUACAUUCAGUAAAACUGUGCGGAGGCAUCUGUUGGCCGGACCCUGCCCAGGGGCCAUGGUGGACAUGGUCAGGAAGACACAGUCAAGGACUCAGCAUCCCUGGGGUGACACACACCCCAGCAGAAGGCCACCGGACAGCCAGAGACACCUGCUGUGAGGAGGCGACCACGCAUAUUUUUUUAAUCGUGGGAAGCUUUCCAGCUGAACGCCUUCCUGGAUGGUUGGGUUUUGAAAUGUGGAUUCACGUCUUCAAAAUGAAGCUGAUCUGUGGGCUGUGAUCAAUAUCAAACAAAAUCAUCAGUGAAAUGCAAAAAAAAAAAAGUCAAUAUGAGUGAAGAAGGUUAAGUCCAAGGAGCCCUAUUUCGUAAGGUAUGACUGCCUUCACCUUCUGCACUUGGCCCUAGCAGGCUCUCCAUCAGACUGCAGGCCAGUAGGACUGAAGCCCCCUCUCCUUCCUGCGCCCUCCAAGACGGUCGUGACUCUCCCUCCUAAUGCAUCUCUGGUGCUUAGCCUGGGGCUUCGGAGAGAUUCGGCAAGGUUUGCUGAAUACAAGGUUGCAUUCGAGAAUUGUAACUAGGGAUCCAAUUUGAUGAAGAGUUAAUGGCAAAGAGUCUUGACGAGAAGGGGGCGUCACCCCAGGGAAAGGAGAUGGAUUCUCCCCAGAGCCUCCAGAAGGGAAUGCAGCCCUGCCCACACCUGGAUUUCCACUGAGACCCAUUUUGACUCUGACCUCCAAAACUGUAAUAAAUGUACUUAUAAAGGCAACGUACAGCAUUUCACACUUACACAGCGCUUUCUGAGUCCUCAACACAGCACCAGGACUCGAGAAUGACUACCCCGCGUGUUUGAGAAGUGCCAGCCUCACUUUGCCCAGAGCAAAGCGGGGCUUGAGCCGUGCUGCCAAGCCCCCAGACCCAGAGCCCAGCUGAAGGGGCUCUUCCCCAAUCUCGGGCUCCCACCUUCACACUAAGACCCAAGACUGUGGGCAGCAAAGAGCCCAGAGGAGGAAAUUGAUUCUUCUUGCUUGUUUUAUGGCUCUUAGGGUGUUACCAUAACAGCAUGGAUUCUUCCCUGAACUCAGCGGAACAUAUGGGAAACCUAUACUUAGCUUGUCAUUUCAAGCCCUUCCUCCCCCACACCCAGCUCUCCCCCCCAGAAGUCCUCAAUAUGGUAUCAAUUCUGUAGGUUAAAAAAAAAAUGUUCAACUGGGUGAAGGGUCCUUUGGUCUUGACCCAUGAGCAGCGAUGUGUCCUGCACUUUGACUGGAGUUGCAGUUGACCACUAAAGUGCCAAGUGGACAUUGUCCCUGGAAUGGCUAUCCUAUUGGCCACGGCGGGAGCAGCAUAGGCGAGACAACUGAAUCCGGUGCACAGCCACCAGAACAGAGAUGGCUUUGGCCAAAGACAGCUACAGAAUGUGCAAAACAAAGAGACGGCACAAGGCAAUCUUUAAAAAUAGUCAUAAAUGUCAAAACAGACCAAAUGAGAAUAUGCUCCUCUGCCUAAAAAUAGACAGUGUUUCAGAGUUGGCUUCAUACAGGAAAUCAUCACUCUGCUCUUUUAACUCUCAUAUUUAAGGGUCUUAGAUCUGACUUUUAUAAAUGAGAAAUCCAAUAGUUAUGCACAUGCUUACAACAUGCCCAGUAAGUAACUGAUUCUCCCUGGUAUACUUCUAGAAUGGAUACUAGGCAGCAUCUCUCCAAAAGAGGAUUACUAAGCCAUCAGCUGUUCUUUUAGUGUCUAAGUCAU
This is a long non-coding RNA of Zalophus californianus (California sea lion), 1940 nucleotides long. RefSeq lists it as uncharacterized. The record is from RefSeq and is a predicted model, not a curated record. The transcript is spliced from 8 exons. NCBI's taxonomy places the organism in Eukaryota, Metazoa, Chordata, Mammalia, Carnivora, Otariidae.